Callithrix jacchus (white-tufted-ear marmoset) is the source of this 1964-nucleotide long non-coding RNA. The record is from Ensembl. Lineage: Eukaryota; Metazoa; Chordata; Mammalia; Primates; Cebidae.
UAUAUAUAACCUAUAUAUCAUAUAUAUGUCAUGUGGUUCUGACCUGGCCUCUCAUAUCUUGAAAGUAAGUAAAAAUAUUCUGAACAAAAUGCUUAUCCCUCAGCCUAAUAGAUUUGGAUGUUGAACUGAAAAAACACCAUCCCUAUUUGCCACUUGAACUUCUCAGUAUAGUAUUGUCAUUUCAUAAAAUUCCUGAUUUUGCAAUGGCAAAUUUCUGUGGACAACACUUUUACUGGCUGCCAUAGAACUACAUUUUAUAAUAAAAAUAACUCCAUGCUUUUAUUUUUACUGAAGAAGGUGGUGUCCAUAUAAUCCAAGUUCAUGUGGUACAGAGGACAGAAUUGAGUAAGAAAUAAGAACGAAACCCGUAUAGCCCUUUCCUCUGAUUCGAUCAUUAAGGCAUCAAGGGAAACAGUUGAAUGUGUUCUUUAUAUAUACUCCUGAAGUAUUAUAUGAGAACGACAGAACCUUUCACAAAAGUUUAUGAAAGCAAAUUUCACACUGAAUUCUUUUAUCAUUUGAAGAGGAAGGUGUAACUUGAACAUUCAAAAAAAAUCUACAGAGGCUGUGUUUGGGUUAAGAAAAAAAAAAAAAGAACACACUCCUGACAAUCUUCUCACACCAUGUUAUUGAGCCCACAUUUCUUGUUAUUAAAUGUGCCCAUGAGUUUUUGUGACCAUUCACCCAAAAAGGUCACUUGGCAUUUUAGCUCCUGAGAUGGGGACACACUAGGUGGGUGAUAAUUACCAGAGAAGGCAAAGGGAUAAACUUAGAAGCCACUGUCCCUACAACUUUAAAAACUCAAACUCUACCUCCUGUUGGGGCAUAAAAUUUUGAAAACCAUUUGUAGAGGUAUCAGUGAGAGCCUGGGUAUAAAAGAGGAAUGAUGCUUUGCAAAAUCCCCCAAGACUGCCUGAGCUUUUUCAUGGUAAUGAAGAAAUGUCAGUGGAAGUUGAUGGGGUGUGUGUGCAUGUAUAUGGAUGUGGGGGUGGAUGGGGCGAGAGGGAGGGAAAGGCUGGCAGACUGAAAUUUUACAUCUGAAAUGUCAUUUGGAAAUCACUUGUGUACUCCAAGUCCAAGUCCUAAACUCUUCUUCUGCUAUUAAAAAUGGUCUGAAAACAGAUCAUGUUCUUAGAAUAUAAAAUUUAUAAAAAGGAAUGUAAUAACUAAAUUAGAUCACCAAAUCAAAUUUCAAGGUGGAGACUUUAGGAAUGCAAAUGAAGAGGAACAGGGGAAACACAGACAGGUCACAGUCUGUGGACAUAUGAUUAGUCUGUAGUCAUAGUAAGUAAUACAAUAAUACAAAUGAAAUUUACUGAGCAUCUAUUAUGUACUGUCCACUUGGGUAAGCUGUUUACAUAGAUGAGAUAACCACUGUUAUUAACCUCAUUUCACUAGGUUUAGAGAGGUUAAGUAACUUGCACAAUUAUACAACUGAUGAGUGGUGGAGGCAAAAUUUUAACUAAUGAACAUAUGCUAUACUAUAUGUAGCAUGGGCUUAACUCAUCCUAUAAACCAUUAUGUACUAAUACCUCUCUAUGGUGCAGCCUGAGAAAUAGAUCACAAGGAGAGUGAAGACUUCUUAGAAAUCUUGGAAGAUUUCUAAUAUUUGACUCUGCCUAGUAGUGUUUUCAUCACUCAAUAAAACUUUAUAGAUUAACCCUUAAUGCUGAGUCUAAUUGUCCAUGCAGAUAAUUUACCUAAGUUGAUCAACCUUAAUGGUAAUUUAGUCUGUCUUUGUAAGUGCACCUUUAGCAAAGGAUGACCAUUGAUAAGUUUUCAUUAUACAAAAUUGCUGCUUGUCUGAUCACAUUCUUUGUCAGUUGAAGGGAUUUCUAGAAUAAUAUAAGACAGUAGUAUACGGUCUAUGUAAUAAAAAUGAUAUAUAUUAUAGUACAUAAUAUAAGACUCCAUAAACUUCGUGAAGAUAAAAUAUUACUUACACAUGAUUUAGCUACUACACC